This 815-nucleotide ribosomal RNA is filed under the name uncultured bacterium. Its description in RNAcentral is "bacterial SSU rRNA". It matches the Rfam family "Bacterial small subunit ribosomal RNA", at positions 8 to 807 of the family's 1533-position model. The record is from RNAcentral.
AGAGUUUGAUCCUGGCUCAGGACGAACGCUGGCGGCGUGCCUAAUACAUGCAAGUAGAACGCUGAAGGAGGAGCUUGCUUCUCCGGAUGAGUUGCGAACGGGUGAGUAACGCGUAGGUAACCUGCCUGGUAGCGGGGGAUAACUAUUGGAAACGAUAGCUAAUACCGCAUAAGAGUAGAUGUUGCAUGACAUUUGCUUAAAAGGUGCAAUUGCAUCACUACCGGAUGGACCUGCGUUGUAUUAGCUAGUUGGUGGGGUAACGGCUCACCAAGGCGACGAUACAUAGCCGACCUGAGAGGGUGAUCGGCCACACUGGGACUGAGACACGGCCCAGACUCCUACGGGAGGCAGCAGUAGGGAAUCUUCGGCAAUGGACGGAAGUCUGACCGAGCAACGCCGCGUGAGUGAAGAAGGUUUUCGGAUCGUAAAGCUCUGUUGUAAGAGAAGAACGAGUGUGAGAGUGGAAAGUUCACACUGUGACGGUAUCUUACCAGAAAGGGACGGCUAACUACGUGCCAGCAGCCGCGGUAAUACGUAGGUCCCGAGCGUUGUCCGGAUUUAUUGGGCGUAAAGCGAGCGCAGGCGGUUAGAUAAGUCUGAAGUUAAAGGCUGUGGCUUAACCAUAGUACGCUUUGGAAACUGUUUAACUUGAGUGCAAGAGGGGAGAGUGGAAUUCCAUGUGUAGCGGUGAAAUGCGUAGAUAUAUGGAGGAACACCGGUGGCGAAAGCGGCUCUCUGGCUUGUAACUGACGCUGAGGCUCGAAAGCGUGGGGAGCAACCAGAGAUUAGAUACCCUGGUAGUCCCCGCCGUAAAC